GGCGCUAUCGUCUAGCCUGAUCUAGGACGUCACCCUCUCACGGUGAAGACACGGGUUUAAAUCCCGUUAGCGCUA
This 75-nucleotide transfer RNA is filed under the name Candidatus Omnitrophota bacterium. RNAcentral describes it as "Candidatus Omnitrophica bacterium (groundwater metagenome) tRNA-Glu". It matches the Rfam family "tRNA". Rfam says of the family: Transfer RNA (tRNA) molecules are approximately 80 nucleotides in length. Their secondary structure includes four short double-helical elements and three loops (D, anti-codon, and T loops). The record is from RNAcentral. Lineage: Bacteria; Pseudomonadati; Candidatus Omnitrophota.